Small nucleolar RNA from Lathyrus oleraceus (garden pea), 107 nucleotides. The record is from RefSeq and is a predicted model, not a curated record. Lineage: Eukaryota; Viridiplantae; Streptophyta; Magnoliopsida; Fabales; Fabaceae.
AGUCCAUGAUAUGGACAUAUUCUCAUUAUCUCCUUUAAUUUCUUCCAUGCUUCAAAGAUCGAUUCCCCGUCUGUUUACCUAAAUCAGAUAAUUUGGUUCCUAAGUUA